Molecule: ribosomal RNA, 468 nt
Filed under: uncultured bacterium
Lineage: Bacteria
Description: partial 16S ribosomal RNA
Rfam family: Bacterial small subunit ribosomal RNA
Source: RNAcentral
GACGAACGCUGGCAGCGUGCUUAACACAUGCAAGUCGAACGGAAAGGCCCUGCUUUUGUGGGGUGCUCGAGUGGCGAACGGGUGAGUAACACGUGAGUAACCUGCCCUUGACUUUGGGAUAACUUCAGGAAACUGGGGCUAAUACCGGAUAGGAGCUCCUGCUGCAUGGUGGGGGUUGGAAAGUUUCGGCGGUUGGGGCUGGACUCGCGGCUUAUCAGCUUGUUGGUGGGGUAGUGGCUUACCAAGGCUUUGACGGGUAGCCGGCCUGGGAGGGGGACCGGCGACAUUGGGACUGAGAUACGGCGCAGACUCCUACGGGAGGCAGCAGUGGGGAAUAUUGCACAAUGGGCGGAAGCCUGAUGCAGCAACGCCGCGUGCGGGAUGACGGCCUUCGGGUUGUAAACCGCUUUGGCCUGUGACGAAGAGUGAGUGACGGUAAUGGGUAAAGAAGCACCGGCUAACUACGUG